ACAUUCUGCAGCAACUGGAAAGACUACGACUUGAGUGAUUACGAAUCACUUAGAAGUAUAAACCAGCCUUAAGGGGGAAACGCCAGCAAUCCGGCUGUGGUGGAUUCAACUCGAAAGAUUGUGAACAGAUGGGUAUGGCUGCUACUGGUGCUCCGUCAAAGUGUUUAUCCACAGUUUUGCAACAAUUACAACAUUAGUAGAAUGUGAUUGUGAUCACACAACGUUAAUGUAGAGACUAUUCAGCUCAAUGCAGGUUUAUAUACAUGGUAACAAUCUUCAUGUAAUGUGAUAAUCAAAUCUUCCAUUAAUGCUGAUGCUGGCAGGUGUUUUAUUGUGGAGGAAGUGUCGGCUACAGGAAGAGAGGAGCAGUGAAGAUAUGUGAUUCAGAGGAGACCCCGCCAGACUACUGCUGUCACUGUUGUCUAAAUAAACUGUUAAUAAUUUAUUUCCUGCAUUUUUAUUGAACAUAUCAUAAUCCACUAUAACAUAACUCUAGCAGAUGAUUAUGACAUAACAUGAACAAAAACAAGAACCAAAGAAAUGAUCCAAGAAAACUAACAGCUCAGUCACUUUUGUCUCCUCCUUCAGAGGUCGCCUCAGCCAAUCAGCAUCAGCGCUUCACACAGGUGGUUUUUACAUCUGUGUUAUAUUGACAUGAAACACCAGAUGUUCUAAAGUUUAUUCAUUUGAAUUACUAAAAAUGCUUAGUUCAACAUGAAAUUAGCAAAAAAGAAAACAAAGAAAAA
This is a long non-coding RNA of Oryzias melastigma (Indian medaka), 746 nucleotides long. RefSeq lists it as uncharacterized. NCBI's taxonomy places the organism in Eukaryota, Metazoa, Chordata, Actinopteri, Beloniformes, Adrianichthyidae. The record is from RefSeq and is a predicted model, not a curated record. The transcript has 2 exons.